RNAcentral lists this ribosomal RNA (884 nucleotides) under uncultured Xerocomus. Its description in RNAcentral is "eukaryotic LSU rRNA". The stretch from base 233 to 393 matches the Rfam family "5.8S ribosomal RNA". The record is from RNAcentral. Lineage: Eukaryota; Fungi; Basidiomycota; Agaricomycetes; Boletales; Boletaceae.
GGGGGGACACUGGAGAGAAGACUUUCGCGUGUUCCGGGAAAUUUUUUNUCGGACCNCUUUUUAUUAAACACCGGGCAACCCACCUGGAUGGUCUCCUCCGAAAGAGGAAUUCAAGUUUCAAUGCGAUCAACACCACCCGUGCAAGGUCAAGCAAUGGUAUUCACCCGGAUCCUUGAACCCCGCCUUUCCGGUUCGGGUGGCCGGGUUCAAAAGGGAAUGAAACGUACGACUUUUCAGGCAACGGGGAUCUUCUUGGGGCUCUCGGCAAUCGAUGAAGAACGCAGCGAAUUGCGAUAAGUAGAUGUGAAUUGCAGAUUUUCAGCUGAAUCAUCGAAUCUUUGAACGCACCUUGCGCUCCUUGGUAUUCCGAGGAGCAUGCCUGUUUGAGUGUCAUGUAAUUCUCAACCACGUCUCGAUUGAUUUCGAGGCAUGGCUUGGACUUGGGGGCUGCCGGUGGCGAAAGCUGUCAGCUCUCCUGAAAUGCAUUAGCAACGGACAGCAAUGUCUGACGUGCACGGCCUUGACGUGAUAAUGAUCGUCGUCGCUGGAGCGUCGGACGUGCACACGAGUCCGUUUGCUUCGAAUCCUAUGGACUUGAGACUUGGACAUUUCGAGAGAAGCGUCAGCUACUAGUCGGUCAUGAGGCCGGCGAACGUGGGCUUGCUCGGAGGUCAGAGUUCCCCCUUCGGUCUUUUUUCAUGACUUGACCUCAAAUCAGGUAGGACUACCCGCUGAACUUAAGCAUAUCAAUAAGCGGAGGAAAAGAAACUAACAGGAUUCCCACUAGUAACUGCGAGUGAACGCGGGAAGAGCUCCACCAUCUUCUGAAUCUGGCGUCGUUUCGCCGUACCCGAACCUGUGAUUCAUGGAGAAGGAAGUACACC